Molecule: ribosomal RNA, 253 nt
Filed under: uncultured bacterium
Lineage: Bacteria
Description: partial 16S ribosomal RNA
Rfam family: Bacterial small subunit ribosomal RNA
Source: RNAcentral
UACGUAGGGAGCAAGCGUUGUCCGGAAUCAUUGGGCGUAAAGAGCUCGUAGGCGGCUUGUCGCGUCGUCCGUGAAAACCUGCAGCUCAACUGCAGGCUUGCGGUCGAUACGGGCAGGCUAGAGUUCGGUAGGGGAGACUGGAAUUCCUGGUGUAGCGGUGAAAUGCGCAGAUAUCAGGAGGAACACCGGUGGCGAAGGCGGGUCUCUGGGCAGUAACUGACGCUGAGGAGCGAAAGCGUGGGGAGCGAACAGG